UACGUAGGGUGCAAGCGUUGUCCGGAAUUAUUGGGCGUAAAGAGCUCGUAGGCGGUCUGUCGCGUCUGCUGUGAAAACUCAGGGCUUAACCCUGAGCCUGCAGUGGGUACGGGCAGACUAGAGUGCGGUAGGGGAGACUGGAAUUCCUGGUGUAGCGGUGAAAUGCGCAGAUAUCAGGAGGAACACCGGUGGCGAAGGCGGAUCUCUGGGCCUUACCUGACGCUGAGGCGCGAAAGCUAGGGGAGCAAACAGG
Molecule: ribosomal RNA, 253 nt
Filed under: uncultured bacterium
Lineage: Bacteria
Description: partial 16S ribosomal RNA
Rfam family: Bacterial small subunit ribosomal RNA
Source: RNAcentral